Molecule: ribosomal RNA, 503 nt
Filed under: uncultured bacterium
Lineage: Bacteria
Description: partial 16S ribosomal RNA
Rfam family: Bacterial small subunit ribosomal RNA
Source: RNAcentral
AUUGAACGCUGGCGGCAGGCUUAACACAUGCAAGUCGAGCGGGGUGAUGGUGCUUGCACUAUCACUUAGCGGCGGACGGGCGAGUAAUGCUUAGGAAUCUGCCUAUUAGUGGGGGACAACAGCUCGAAAGGGAUGCUAAUACCGCAUACGACCUACGGGAGAAAGCAGGGGAUCACUUGUGACCUUGCGCUAAUAGAUGAGCCUAAGUCGGAUUAGCUAGUUGGUGGGGUAAAGGCCUCCCAAGGCGACGAUCUGUAGCGGGUCUGGGAGGAGGAGCCGCCACGCUGGGACUGAGACACGGCCCAGACUCCUACGGGAGGCAGCAGUGGGGAAUAUUGGACAAUGGGGGGAACCCUGAUCCAGCCAUGCCGCGUGUGUGAAGAAGGCCUUAUGGUUGUAAAGCACUUUAAGCGAGGAGGAGGCUCUUUUGGUUAAUACCCGAGAUGAGUGGACGUUACUCGCAGAAUAAGCACCGGCUAACUCUGUGCCAGCCGCCGCCGUAA